UAUGAAAAUUCUGCUUUCUCAUGAACCUAAGGAAAAGCAUGUACUGACUUCACCACACCCCUAGAACACAACUGCAUAUUUUGCGGGUAUAAACAAAAUAAAGCAGAUGCUUCAGGCACCACCAAGGAAGCUAAGAUGUUAAUGAAGACACAGCACAGUACCUGCUACAGCGGGACAGGGCCCUUUCUUAAGUUACCUAGUACGAACAGCCAGUUGAACUGGGGUGGGAAAAAUCACAACUUAAAACCAUUUACAUAAGC
RNAcentral lists this long non-coding RNA (260 nucleotides) under Bos taurus (domestic cattle). Its description in RNAcentral is "long non-coding RNA NONBTAT016444". The record is from RNAcentral. Lineage: Eukaryota; Metazoa; Chordata; Mammalia; Artiodactyla; Bovidae.